Long non-coding RNA from Homo sapiens (human), 251 nucleotides. RefSeq lists it as uncharacterized. NCBI's taxonomy places the organism in Eukaryota, Metazoa, Chordata, Mammalia, Primates, Hominidae. The transcript has 2 exons. The record is from RefSeq and is a predicted model, not a curated record.
GUCUUAUUCCUCACCUCUAUGUUAAGGGGGGCUCACUGAGGCUCACAACGGGAGACAUUUCACCAAGUUAUCCUGAGAAGCUCUGAGGUCACAGAGCAGCGUGGCAAUUGGGAUUACAGAGCGAGACUCCAUCUCAAAAAAAGAAAAAAAAAAAGCAUUGUCAAAACUUAAUAACUGCAACACUAUAUCCUGAGCAGCUGAAUCUGCAAUCAUCUUUUUAAGAGACUUCUGUAACCAAGCUAUAAAAUCAA